This is a long non-coding RNA of Fundulus heteroclitus (mummichog), 383 nucleotides long. RefSeq lists it as uncharacterized. The transcript is spliced from 3 exons. Lineage: Eukaryota; Metazoa; Chordata; Actinopteri; Cyprinodontiformes; Fundulidae. The record is from RefSeq and is a predicted model, not a curated record.
GAAAGAUAAUGCCUCGCCAACUGGCUAUGAGCAUUACUAUGAUCCUCAAAGUGGACAGGGGUACCUGGCCUACCGAUUGAAAACCGUACAGCGGAACACUGCAAGCAACUUCAGGAGAACCUCUGAGUCUGUUCAUCAGUGUGGCCCCAAAACUCUGAGGCAGACAGAAACAUCUGACCAGCUGUUUGGGGAUGAUUGCACAGAAGCAAUUUCCAUAAUGAAGCAUUCGUCAAACCCAGAAGUCAUCAAGGAGAAAAUGAAGGCAACAUUUCAACAUAGACAGAAACUGCUGCAUGAUCUGGAGCAGUCAUCAUUCAUCUUGGAUCACUUCCCAAGAUUCUUGGAUACACCAGGCUUAAUCGAGCAGGACUUCAUUAGGCUCU